UACGGGGGGAGCAAGCGUUGUUCGGAUUUACUGGGCGUAAAGGGCGCGUAGGCGGCCUGUGCAAGUCAGUUGUGAAAUCUCCGAGCUUAACUCGGAACGGUCAACUGAUACUGCUCGGCUAGAGUGCGGAAGGGGCAACUGGAAUUCUUGGUGUAGCGGUGAAAUGCGUAGAUAUCAAGAGGAACACCAGCAGCGAAGGCGGCGCUCUGGGCUGGAACUGACGCUGAGGAGCGAAAGCGUGGGUAGCAAACAGG
RNAcentral lists this ribosomal RNA (254 nucleotides) under uncultured bacterium. RNAcentral describes it as "partial 16S ribosomal RNA". It matches the Rfam family "Bacterial small subunit ribosomal RNA", at positions 524 to 776 of the family's 1533-position model. The record is from RNAcentral.